RNAcentral lists this ribosomal RNA (253 nucleotides) under uncultured bacterium. Its description in RNAcentral is "partial 16S ribosomal RNA". It matches the Rfam family "Bacterial small subunit ribosomal RNA", at positions 524 to 776 of the family's 1533-position model. The record is from RNAcentral.
UACGUAGGGGGCAAGCGUUGUCCGGAAUCAUUGGGCGUAAAGCGCGUGUAGGCGGUCCGAUCAGUCGGCUGUGAAAGUCCAGGGCUCAACCCUGGGAUGCCGGUCGAUACUGUCGGACUAGAGUCCGGAAGAGGCGAGUGGAAUUCCCGGUGUAGCGGUGAAAUGCGCAGAUAUCGGGAGGAACACCAAUGGCGAAGGCAGCUCUCUGGGACGGUACUGACGCUGAGACGCGAAAGCGUGGGGAGCGAACAGG